CUCGGAAGAUGGAGGAGGGUGAGAGGCGAGUGAAGACGAGAGCGGAAGAGCGAGAAUGCCGACUACUCGUUCGGCUUCACGUCCUCGUAUGGAUUUACCAGGCUUUGGCAACUGCAUGGAAAUGUGCUUCAAGUUCAGAAGGAGAUCUGAGCCCCUGCAGUAGCUUCAGAUUGUUUCAGAAGUACUGCAAAGCUAAGCUUUGAUGGAUACUGUAAAGAAGUACGAAGAUGUCCAAGCAUGGAAAACACAAUUCUAAAGGGAAUGCAUAGGAGACACACCACUUCAGAUCCUCUCAUUCUUCUUCUCUUUUUGCAUUGUUCUUUUCUUUAGCCAUUCAUGAAAAGGUUGCUGCUAACAUCCAAUGUCUCCUCAGAUAGGUGCCUUGCUGACACAGAAUAAUCAUCACUUGGGCCUUGGAUGUCACACCGGUGGUUCUUAGAGCAGAUAGCUCAUGUGUUCUGAACAAGGAACAAUUCCAUACCUCCCACGUAUAUUAUGGACCAUAUAAAGAUUGGAUGCAUGCAAGGAUCAAGUCUCAUCCAAGUUGUGCUCAGAAAUUACCAAGUUAGAGCUCUGCUUUUGGAGUGGACUAAAACCAUAAUAACAAGUCUGGUGUGUAUCUUCACUUGUGAUCUUUGGGAAAAUGGAAGACAACUGGGUUCGGUACGGCACAUGGCUGAUUGGCACCCACCCACUUUGGGUUGCUUUGCCUAUGGGUGGUGAUGGUGGUGGUGGCGGUGGUGUUGGCAGCAGAGGAUUUCAACUAGAUUAGAGACCUGAGGAUUCCAUUUUCAUCUGUUAAGGGGUAGUGGCAUCCAAUGCCAUCCUGAUCUCUUCAGCCAGAGAGAAUACAGAACAAUGAGUCCAUCAAACUUGUUCCUAUCUCAUCAGUUCUGUAUAUUUCCUUUGGACCACAACUGCCAUUUUCAUGCUUCUUUUUGGUCUGUCCCCCCAUGGCUUGUCCGGUGGCAGAUGCUGCUGAACUAAACUUGGCAAUGAAAGUGACUCUCUCAUGGACAUCAGCACUUUGAUCGGAUGAGGUGAUGGAGUUAAGAUUCCUUGGAAACCCCACUUUGACUACAGUGCUUGAUUAGUUCUCACGAUGAUGUAUUGGCUAAAUUAUAGGUGCUCUUUUAACUUUGGUUGUACUUGAUUUGAGGAGCUUUGGCAUCUUGAGCUCAACCAGAGCUGUAGAAGUUUCAAGACCAUGAAUGUGUCAUAAAAGAAAUGUUCUUGAUCUGAGCAGUUAGGCAUUGGCUUCUUGAGGUCAAGCAUUUCUGUAAGAAUAAACCUACCGUGACAACCAUAUGUCUUCCCAAGGCAUUCAAAGAGGAGAGAUGGAUUUGUUGAGA
This is a long non-coding RNA of Musa acuminata AAA Group (dessert banana), 1352 nucleotides long. RefSeq lists it as uncharacterized. The record is from RefSeq and is a predicted model, not a curated record. NCBI's taxonomy places the organism in Eukaryota, Viridiplantae, Streptophyta, Magnoliopsida, Zingiberales, Musaceae. The transcript has 4 exons.